AGGAGUACCUGAGAGCCUGAGAUGAUUGGAUUGGCCAUUCCAACACACCACCCAUCCCCUGGGGAAGAAGGGGUUAUUCAAAUGGAACCUGCUAGAGAACUGCCAGCCUCCAUUUACCCCCACAUACAUUCUAGGGUGCUGUGCAUGUGUGGCUGUUCAUGAGUAUGAGUGGCUCCAAGGCUGUGGCCUGUGCAGGAGAAUGACUAGGUAGAAUCUCAGAUAAACCUACCAUAAGCGAUUCAUAAUUGUUUA
Molecule: long non-coding RNA, 252 nt
Organism: Piliocolobus tephrosceles (Ugandan red Colobus)
Lineage: Eukaryota; Metazoa; Chordata; Mammalia; Primates; Cercopithecidae
Exons: 3
Source: RefSeq, a predicted model, not a curated record